This 392-nucleotide ribosomal RNA is filed under the name uncultured bacterium. RNAcentral's name for it is "bacterial SSU rRNA". It matches the Rfam family "Bacterial small subunit ribosomal RNA", at positions 32 to 404 of the family's 1533-position model. The record is from RNAcentral.
AAUCAACGCUGGCGGCGUGCCUCAGACAUGCAAGUCGAACGCGAAAGUCCCCUUCGGGGGACAAGUAGAGUGGCGCACGGGUGAGUAACACGUAGGUAAUCUACCUUCGGAUGGGGAAUAACAACCGGAAACGGUUGCUAAUACCGCAUAAUGCAGCGGCACCUAAUGGUGACAGUUGUUAAAGCGGGGGAUUGAAAGACCUCGCGUCUGAAGAGGAGCCUGCGGCGGAUUAGCUUGUUGGAGGGUAACGGCCUACCAAGGCGACGAUCCGUAGCCGGCCUGAGAGGGCGGUCGGCCACACUGACACUGACAUACGGGUCAGACUCCUACGGGAGGCAGCAGUGGGGAAUUUUGGACAAUGGGCGCAAGCCUGAUCCAGCCAUGCCGCGUGC